RNAcentral lists this ribosomal RNA (497 nucleotides) under uncultured bacterium. RNAcentral describes it as "partial 16S ribosomal RNA". It matches the Rfam family "Bacterial small subunit ribosomal RNA", at positions 28 to 507 of the family's 1533-position model. The record is from RNAcentral.
GAUGAACGCUGGCGGCGUGCCUAAUACAUGCAAGUCGAGCGAACAGACGAGGAGCUUGCUCCUCUGACGUUAGCGGCGGACGGGUGAGUAACACGUGGAUAACCUACCUAUAAGACUGGGAUAACUUCGGGAAACCGGAGCUAAUACCGGAUAAUAUAUUGAACCGCAUGGUUCAAUAGUGAAAGACGGUUUUGCUGUCACUUAUAGAUGGAUCCGCGCCGCAUUAGCUAGUUGGUAAGGUAACGGCUUACCAAGGCAACGAUGCGUAGCCGACCUGAGAGGGUGAUCGGCCACACUGGAACUGAGACACGGUCCAGACUCCUACGGGAGGCAGCAGUAGGGAAUCUUCCGCAAAGGGCGAAAGCCUGACGGAGCAACGCCGCGUGAGUGAUGAAGGUCUUCGGAUCGUAAAACUCUGUUAUUAGGGAAGAACAAAUGUGUAAGUAACAAUGCACGUCUUGACGGUACCUAAUCAGAAAGCCACGGCUAACUACGUG